UUUUUUCUUUCAAUUUAGAUAAAAAAGAACAGAAAUGCAUGCAAAAGAAGAGAUGUUUCAUAUAGUGGUAUAAAAAGAUGAAAAAAUAUGAUCAUGCAUGGCUGGUACACCCAGAUGGAGAAACAACUUUGGUUCAUUUGAAUCUCUACAAGUUUGACUCAUAUCUGUCUUCAAAAACAAUCGUAUCAAAGAAUUUGAACAUUGAAAAACCAACUGAAGUCAUUAUGAAAUAUGUAGAAACUGAUAACAGAUUUAAAAUAACAAUUAUAAAAAAUGAAAAAGAUGAUAUCUUGAAGACAAUACUAAUUGCUGCUGUUGCAGAAAAUUCCAAAACUCAAGCAAGAACACAAUUAACCUUUAACUCUGCUAUAAGUGAUUCACAUUUGUUGGAUUUCAAUUUUGAUGGUGCUUACAAAUGAGACAAGAAAGUUACAAAAGCAAAUGCAAGCAGAAAUUAGUGCAGGUAGAGUUCAAUAUGUCAACUACCAAACCACUAAUAACAUUUGGUUGGCCAAGAAUUAGAAAUUAUUAUAAAUGGAAUGAAAAUCAAAGUCUUACAUUUCACUACUAUGGUCAAGAUACUUUUCUUAUGAUCGUUUGUGAGUUUGAACAAAAUGAGUCUCCAUCUUCUUUUCCUCAAUAUCAUAGUUUGAGUACAAAUCUUGAUGAUUAUCGUUCUUUCCUACUUGUGAUAAAGGAAUCCCAUC
Molecule: long non-coding RNA, 707 nt
Filed under: Trifolium pratense (red clover)
Lineage: Eukaryota; Viridiplantae; Streptophyta; Magnoliopsida; Fabales; Fabaceae
Description: long non-coding RNA (TPRA_LNC009478)
Source: RNAcentral